Molecule: small nucleolar RNA, 84 nt
Filed under: Leptosomus discolor (cuckoo roller)
Lineage: Eukaryota; Metazoa; Chordata; Aves; Leptosomiformes; Leptosomidae
Source: RNAcentral
UCUCUCUGAUGGCUCAGUAGAUCCUGCUUUACCCUUCACUGUGUGCUCAAUAAAAGAGAAGGGAAGAAACCUAUGGCUGAGGGA